This 82-nucleotide transfer RNA is filed under the name Polyangiaceae bacterium. Its description in RNAcentral is "tRNA-Leu". It matches the Rfam family "tRNA". Rfam says of the family: Transfer RNA (tRNA) molecules are approximately 80 nucleotides in length. Lineage: Bacteria; Pseudomonadati; Myxococcota; Polyangiales; Polyangiaceae. The record is from RNAcentral.
GCGAAGAUGGCGGAAUUGGCAGACGCGCUGGAUUCAGGUUCCAGUGGGUAACACCGUGGGGGUUCAAGUCCCCCUCUUCGCA